AAUGGGCGCAAGCCUGAUCCAGCCAUGCCGCGUGUGUGAUGAAGGCCCUAGGGUUGUAAAGCACUUUCAACGGUGAAGAUAAUGACGGUAACCGUAGAAGAAGCUCCGGCUAACUUCGUGCCAGCAGCCGCGGUAAUACGAAGGGAGCUAGCGUUGUUCGGAAUUACUGGGCGUAAAGCGCGCGUAGGCGGGUUAUUAAGUUAGGUGUGAAAUCCCAGGGCUCAACCCUGGAACUGCACUUAAUACUGGUAACCUAGAGUUCGAGAGAGGUGAGUGGAAUUCCGAGUGUAGAGGUGAAAUUCGUAGAUAUUCGGAGGAACACCAGUGGCGAAGGCGGCUCACUGGCUCGAUACUGACGCUGAGGUGCGAAAGCGUGGGGAGCGAACAGGAUU
This 392-nucleotide ribosomal RNA is filed under the name uncultured Gammaproteobacteria bacterium. Its description in RNAcentral is "bacterial SSU rRNA". It matches the Rfam family "Bacterial small subunit ribosomal RNA", at positions 370 to 779 of the family's 1533-position model. The record is from RNAcentral. Lineage: Bacteria; Pseudomonadati; Pseudomonadota; Gammaproteobacteria.